This is a long non-coding RNA of Schistocerca cancellata (South American locust), 1213 nucleotides long. RefSeq lists it as uncharacterized. The transcript is spliced from 4 exons. The record is from RefSeq and is a predicted model, not a curated record. NCBI's taxonomy places the organism in Eukaryota, Metazoa, Arthropoda, Insecta, Orthoptera, Acrididae.
CGUCGAUUAUCUGCGAGUGUAGUUGGCCGUUACGUGGAAUUGCUGACUGCGUUUAUGGAAAUUCGUACAUUAUGUUCCCCAGCAUUGGUUCGCAAGGAAACUAUCUGGACAAAAAGAAAACAGACAAGGCAACUACUGAGCCAGGCUCCAUGAAGUGACUAUACUGGCAGAGGCAAAGACUGAGGGAGGAAGUUCACAAGUGGCCUGCAUGCACUGUGGGAAACUUCAGAUGGUGCAGACGUAACUCUGGUGGUCAGCGGCUUCUAGCUGCCAGGACACAGUCAGAUCCUGGGAGCAAGAAGUGCAGUCUCUGAUACUGUGUUGCAUUUCUCACUUUUCAUUUCGCAACAUGGUGUCAAAGACCGGGCUCCCAGCUGACACUUAGCAAAUUGAUGUGCAGCAGACAGCAGCUAUAUAGAGGAGUGAUUGUAAUUGCAGAGUAGAAGGCUGAGGGAGGCAGUUUCAUGAACGACUGCGUGCACUGCUAAAAUCUUCAGCUGGUUCGGACAUGACUGGUUGUCGUCUGCCUGGAGCUGCCAGCACACAGCCGGAUCUAGGCAGUUAUGAGCCCAGUGUUUGUCGCCAUGUUGCGUUUCUCGCAUGUCAUUUCGUAACAUGGCGGCAAACACUGGGCUUCUUACUGACGUGUUGCAAAUCGCCGUGCGAGAAGUGUGCAUCUACUAGAUAGAGGUAAGAGACACAUGAGAAGUUCUCUUACAAUAAGUGUGAAACAGUUUCUUUCCUUGCCAUUCCUUGCAUCAUGCUUGGGUGACAUUGUGAACUUAAAAAGUCCCAAAGACAGUUAUUGGAGUAGAUAGGGAUUUGGCGUUAAUGGAAAAAUGCUGAAGUAAAAUAAUUACAGCUUCUUGGCAGUUUAUUAAUUCAAAAUGUGUACUGUGUUGCCAGAUAAUUCUUCCUGAUGAUUACUCAGUAUUCAUACAGGCAGCACAAAAUUACUCUCUUCAGUAGUAGUUCACCAGUACAUCUAACAUAGUAUCUAUACAUCUAAGAAACCUGUCAGGACUGUAGAAGCAGUUCUUAACCGUUUUCUUUUUUACAACUGCACCCUUUGGUGGUGAUUAAAAACUUCAUGUGUUUUAAUAGUUAUAGAUAAAUGGUAAUGUCAAAGAUAAUUUAAGAACCUAAAUAUUUUAGUCAGUCACACUAUUAUUUAGGGCUAAUAAAUCUUUGUAGAAAAUGAUUGUAUUGUUUU